GACGAACGCUGGCGGCGUGCCUAAUACAUGCAAGUCGAGCGGACGAAUCGAAAGCUUGCUUUUGAUUCGUUAGCGGCGGACGGGUGAGUAACACGUGGGCAACCUGCCCUGUAGACGGGGAUAACACCGAGAAAUCGGUGCUAAUACCGGAUAACACGAAAUGUCGCAUGACGUUUCGUUGAAAGACGGCGCAAGCUGUCGCUACAGGAUGGGCCCGCGGCGCGUUAGCUAGUUGGUGAGGUAACGGCUCCCCAAGGCGACGAUGCGUAGCCGACCUGGGAGGGUGAUCGGCCACACUGGGACUGAGACACGGCCCAGACUCCUACGGGAGGCAGCAGUGGGGAAGCUUCCGCAAUGGACGAAAGUCUGACGGAGCAACGCCGCGUGAGCGAAGAAGGCCUUCGGGUCGUAAAGCUCUGUUGUUAGGGAAGAACAAGUAACGCAGUAACUGGCGUUACCGUGACGGUACCUAACGAGAAAGCCACGGCUAACUACGUGCCAGCAGCCGCCGUAA
This 514-nucleotide ribosomal RNA is filed under the name uncultured bacterium. Its description in RNAcentral is "partial 16S ribosomal RNA". It matches the Rfam family "Bacterial small subunit ribosomal RNA", at positions 28 to 523 of the family's 1533-position model. The record is from RNAcentral.